RNAcentral lists this ribosomal RNA (449 nucleotides) under uncultured bacterium. RNAcentral's name for it is "bacterial SSU rRNA". It matches the Rfam family "Bacterial small subunit ribosomal RNA", at positions 328 to 793 of the family's 1533-position model. The record is from RNAcentral.
UGACAGUACUCCUACGGGAGCAGCAGUGGGGAAUAUUGCACAAUGGGCGCAAGCCUGAUGCAGCAACGCCGUGUGAGUGAAGAAGGUUUUCGGAUCGUAAAACUCUGUCCUAAGGGAAGAAACAAAUGACGGUACCUUAGGAGGAAGCCCCGGCUAACUACGUGCCAGCAGCCGCGGUAAUACGUAGGGGGCAAGCGUUAUCCGGAAUCACUGGGCGUAAAGGGUGCGUAGGCGGCUUAGCAAGCCAGGGGUGAAAGGCAUUGGCUCAACCAAUGUAAGCCUUUGGAACUGUUAAGCUUGAGUGCAGGAGAGGUAAGUGGAAUUCCUAGUGUAGAGGUGAAAUUCGUAGAUAUUAGGAGGAACACCAGUGGCGAAGGCGACUUACUGGACUGUAACUGACGCUGAUGCACGAAAGCGUGGGUAGCGAACAGGAUUAGAUACCCUGGUAG